AUUGAACGCUGGCGGCAGGCUUAACACAUGCAAGUCGAGCGGGGUGAUGGUGCUUGCACUAUCACUUAGCGGCGGACGGGUGAGUAAUGCUUAGGAAUCUGCCUAUUAGUGGGGGACAACAUCUCGAAAGGGAUGCUAAUACCGCAUACGUCCUACGGGAGAAAGCAGGGGAUCACUUGUGACCUUGCGCUAAUAGAUGAGCCUAAGUUGGAUUAGCUAGUUGGGGGGGUAAAGGCCUACCAAGGCGACGAUCUGUAGCGGGUCUGAGAGGAUGAGCCGCCACACUGGGACUGAGACACGGACCAGACGCCUACGGGAGGCAGCAGUGGGGAAUAUUGGACAAUGGGGGGAACCCUGAGCCAGCCAUGCCGCGUGUGUGAAGAAGGCCUUAUGGUUGUAAAGCACUUUAAGCGAGGAGGAGGCUCUUUUGGUUAAUACCCAAGAUGAGUGGACGUUACUCGCAGAAUAAGCACCGGCUAACUCUGUGCCAGCCGCCGCCGUAA
This 503-nucleotide ribosomal RNA is filed under the name uncultured bacterium. RNAcentral's name for it is "partial 16S ribosomal RNA". It matches the Rfam family "Bacterial small subunit ribosomal RNA", at positions 30 to 523 of the family's 1533-position model. The record is from RNAcentral.